CCUACGGGAGGCAGCAGUGAGGAAUAUUGGUCAAUGGACGAGAGUCUGAACCAGCCAAGUAGCGUGAAGGAUGACUGCCCUAUGGGUUGUAAACUUCUUUUAUAUGGGAAUAAAACGUUCCACGUGUGGGAUUUUGUAUGUACCAUAUGAAUAGGGAUCGGCUAACUCCGUGCCAGCAGCCGCGGUAAUACGGAGGAUCCGAGCGUUAUCCGGAUUUAUUGGGUUUAAAGGGAGCGUAGGUGGAUUGUUAAGUCAGUUGUGAAAGUUUGCGGCUCAACCGUAAAAUUGCAGUUGAAACUGGCAGUCUUGAGUACAGUAGAGGUGGGCGGAAUUCGUGGUGUAGCGGUGAAAUGCUUAGAUAUCACGAAGAACUCCGAUUGCGAAGGCAGUUCACUGGACUGCAACUGACACUGAGGCUCGAAAGUGUGGGUAUCAAACAGGAUUAGAUACCCGAGUAGUC
Molecule: ribosomal RNA, 460 nt
Filed under: uncultured bacterium
Lineage: Bacteria
Description: partial 16S ribosomal RNA
Rfam family: Bacterial small subunit ribosomal RNA
Source: RNAcentral